RNAcentral lists this ribosomal RNA (303 nucleotides) under uncultured Gammaproteobacteria bacterium. RNAcentral's name for it is "bacterial SSU rRNA". It matches the Rfam family "Bacterial small subunit ribosomal RNA", at positions 202 to 489 of the family's 1533-position model. Lineage: Bacteria; Pseudomonadati; Pseudomonadota; Gammaproteobacteria. The record is from RNAcentral.
AAGCAGGGAUCUUCGGACCUUGUGCUAUGAGAUGAGCCCGCGUCGGAUUAGCUAGUUGGUGGGGUAAAGGCCUACCAAGGCGACGAUCCGUAGCUGGUCUGAGAGGAUGAUCAGCCACACUGGAACUGAGACACGGUCCAGACUCCUACGGGAGGCAGCAGUGGGGAAUAUUGCACAAUGGGCGAAAGCCUGAUGCAGCCAUGCCGCGUGUGUGAAGAAGGCUCUAGGGUUGUAAAGCACUUUCAACAAGGAGGAAAGGUUGUAAGUUAAUACCUUGCAGCUGUGACGUUACUUGCAGAAGAA